RNAcentral lists this long non-coding RNA (716 nucleotides) under Mus pahari (shrew mouse). Its description in RNAcentral is "lncRNA (MGP_PahariEiJ_G0004764.1)". Lineage: Eukaryota; Metazoa; Chordata; Mammalia; Rodentia; Muridae. The record is from RNAcentral.
GACUACCUUCAGAAGCCUAACCGUGCAACAGCUUUAUACCAGGCUCUACCUGCCAGGUGGCUCUCCAGGUGUGCCCUGUGAUUCCCCACGCUCGCCUGCAGGCUGCACUGUUGACGUGGUUAUCUCCCAGGCUCGCACAGCAGGCAAUUCAAACAGGUUGUGUCAACGCUGCAGGUAGGCACUGAAUCCACACAGCCAAGGCUGAAAAAGAUUGCCUCUGCCGCGAGAACUGUGGGCUAAGAACUGUGGUGGGCUGAGAACUGUGGAGAUGAGCCCACUUAGAGCUCCUAGUGUGCGCAUGCGUGGAGGGACACCUACUGGAGCAUGGGUAUCUUUCAUGGCCACAUUCCUGAAGAAAAAUGCUGGAGCCAGGAUCAGGAAAGGACCAGGAACAAGGUCCUCCACACACCCUCCAUCCGUGCGUUCCAGGGCUCGUGGGUUUGCUUCAGCCAAAACCUCGAACGAGCCACAUCCUUGUGCUCUUGACUGUGGUGAGAUUGCUAGCUACGUGUAACUUCUCCGAGGGGUCAAAAGUGUUAUGUUUGCUCAACAGUGCUCCUGCCUUCUGACACUUGUGAUUACAGAACUGGAGUGGAGACAUGUGGGCAUAUGUAUUUCUGUCUUCAGGCUCCUGAGUGCCCACUGUAAUCUUCAGUUGUACCAUCUCUGUAGUCCUGUCUCUCAGAUAAACAAAUGAAGGACUGACUGGAUCUCUC